GGAAGGAUCAUUACCGAGUUAGGGUGUCGUCCUCGACGCCCGACCUCCUAAACCCACUGUUUACCUGACCUUAUCGUUGCUUCGGCAGGCCCGCCCAUAUCGGGCCGCCGGGGGGUUGGCUCACCGCCCUCCCUGGCCCGCGCCUGCCGACGGCCCCCCACAAAACUCUUGUUGAUAAACGUGUCGUCUGAGUUUUCGGCCAUCGAUGGAUGGUUUAAAUACAAACAUAAAACUUUCAACAACGGAUCUCUUGGUUCUGGCAUCGAUGAAGAACGCAGCGAAAUGCGAUAAGUAAUGCGAAUUGCAGAAUCCGUGAGUCAUCGAAUCUUUGAACGCACAUUGCGCCCUUUGGUAUUCCGAAGGGCAUGCCUGUUCGAGCGUCAUUAUCACCCCUCAAGCCCCGGCUUGUUGUUGAGCGCCCGGCGCCUCACCCGCGCCCGCUCCAAAGAUAAUGACGGCGUCUGUGAGGACUCCAGUACAUUGAGCUCUCGGGCACGUACUCGGCACGAAUCCAGACCCGGUCACAACUUUUUUACUUAUCAAGGUUGACCUCGGAUCAGGUAGGAAUACCCGCUGAACUUAAGCAUAUCAAUAAGCGGAGGAAAAGAAACCAACAGGGAUUGCCUUAGUAACGGCGAGUGAAGCGGCAACAGCUCAAAUUUGAAAUCUGGCUCCUUCGGGGUCCGAGUUGUAAUUUGUAGAGGAUGUUUCGGGCACGGUCCGGGCUUAAAUUUCUUGGAACAGAAUGUCAGAGAGGGUGAGAAUCCCGUCUGGAGUCUGUCGACACGGCCUAUGUGAAACUCCUUCGACGAGUCGAGUUGUUUGGGAAUGCAGCUCUAAAUGGGUGGUAAAUUUCAUCUAAAGCUAAAUAUUGGCCAGAGACCGAUAGCGCACAAGUAGAGUGAUCGAAAGAUGAAAAGCACUUUGAAAAGAGAGUUAAACAGUAUGUGAAAUUGUUGAAAGGGAAGCGCUGGCAACCAGACUUGCGCGUCGCGGUUCCCCCUGGCUUCUGCCUGGGUUACUCCGCGGCGUUCAGGCCAACAUCGGUUUCGGGGGUCGGUUAAAGGCCCGGGGAAUGUACCUACUCUUCGGGGUAGACUUAUAGCCCUGGGUGUCAUGCGACCUCCCGGGACCGAGGAACGCGCUUCGGCUCGGAUGUUGGCGUAAUGGUUGUCAGCGACCCGUCUUGAAACACGGACCAAGGAGUCUAACAUCUAUGCGAGUGUUCGGGUGUCAAACCCUUACGCGGAAUGAAAGUGAACGGAGGUAGGAAGCCUUGAGGCUGCACUAUCGACCGAUCCUGAAGUUUACGGAUGGAUUUGAGUAAGAGCAUAGCUGUUGGGACCCGAAAGAUGGUGAACUAUGCCUGAAUAGGGUGAAGCCAGAGGAAACUCUGGUGGAGGCUCGCAGCGGUUCUGACGUGCAAAUCGAUCGUCAAAUUUGGGUAUAGGGGCGAAAGACUAAUCGAACCAUCUGGUAGCUGGUUCCUGC
RNAcentral lists this unclassified non-coding RNA (1491 nucleotides) under uncultured fungus. RNAcentral describes it as "sequence contains 18S rRNA gene, ITS1, 5.8S rRNA gene, ITS2, 28S rRNA gene". The stretch from base 547 to 1491 matches the Rfam family "Eukaryotic large subunit ribosomal RNA", at positions 1 to 961 of the family's 3401-position model. The record is from RNAcentral. Lineage: Eukaryota; Fungi.